This 459-nucleotide ribosomal RNA is filed under the name uncultured bacterium. RNAcentral describes it as "partial 16S ribosomal RNA". It matches the Rfam family "Bacterial small subunit ribosomal RNA", at positions 339 to 795 of the family's 1533-position model. The record is from RNAcentral.
CUACGGGACGCUGCAGUAAGGAAUAUUGCGCAAUGGAGGCAACUCUGACGCAGCCAUGCCGCGUGCAGGAAGAAGGCCUUAUGGGUCGUAAACUGCUUUUAUUUAGGAAUAAACCCCCGAACGUGUUCGGGGCUGAAGGUACUAAACGAAUAAGCACCGGCUAACUCCGUGCCAGCAGCCGCGGUAAUACGGAGGGUGCAAGCGUUAUCCGGAUUUAUUGGGUUUAAAGGGUGCGCAGGCGGGCUAUUAAGUCAGUGGUGAAAUCCCGGGGCUCAACUCCGGAACUGCCAUUGAUACUGAUAGUCUUGAGUUUGGUUGAAGUGGGCGGAAUGUAGCAUGUAGCGGUGAAAUGCAUAGAUAUGCUACAGAACACCAAUCGCGAAGGCAGCUCACUAAGCCAAAACUGACGCUCAUGCACGAAAGCGUAGGGAUCAAACAGGAUUAGAUACCCGCGUAGUC